UACAGAGGUCUCAAGCGUUGUUCGGAUUCAUUGGGCGUAAAGGGUGCGUAGGCGGCGCGGUAAGUCGGGUGUGAAAUUUCGGAGCUUAACUCCGAAACUGCAUUCGAUACUGGCGUGCUUGAGGACUGGAGAGGAGACUGGAAUUCAUGGUGUAGCAGUGAAAUGCGUAGAUAUCGUAAGGAAGACCAGUGGCGAAGGCGGGUCUCUGGACAGUUCCUGACGCUGAGGCACGAAGGUCAGGGGAGCAAACGGG
RNAcentral lists this ribosomal RNA (253 nucleotides) under uncultured bacterium. RNAcentral describes it as "partial 16S ribosomal RNA". It matches the Rfam family "Bacterial small subunit ribosomal RNA", at positions 524 to 776 of the family's 1533-position model. The record is from RNAcentral.